AUUGAAAGUUACAAUAUAUUUUAUAAUAUAGCAAUAUAUUUCAUAUUUAAAAUAAACUGUUAUGCUUUCUCCUAUCAUUAAAAAAUAGCAAGCAGUACAGAGGCAAGAUGCAAAUUCAUAUUGAAGCUCAUCUGAUCUGAAUAUAAACACAUCAAUCUCUGAGUUCGCCAUGAUGUUUCCUCCAUUAGCAUCCUGUUGACCUCGUUUGCUGUUCUCUUCUGGUCAGUGCAGAAUGGGAGAGUCUGGGACCGACCUUGAGUUGUUGCGCCAUUAAAAAGUGUCUGAUGAAGGUGGAUCAAUCCUGGUUGAGAUUCAGAAAGUGAGACAAUAUGACACAGCUAGAGAAUGUUGUUUAUCCCCUGUCCUUCUGUGAGCUUGGAUGUUGGCUGUUCCCAUCAGAUUGAUAUCUGAUUUGUCAAUAUAUAUAUGUGUGUGUAUAUAUAUAUGUAUAUAUAUAUAUAUUUUUUUUGGCUAUAAAUUCAGCAUCUCUUUGGGAUCCGAAACAGGUUGGUGUUGAAUUUUGUGCUUUUCCUCCAUCAGCUUGGUUGGUCACAACGUCUCUUUUGUUUGUUUCCACACAUGGUCCAGGCCCAAGAGUACAGCUUCCAGAACACGUUUUUCAGGUGUGUAAACAACUGUGGCAGGGCACUUGGCACCUAGAUUUGGAGGUCAUACGUUGAAGAUUUGAUAAUGGUUUUGUUCAGAGGGAACUCCAGUUCAUGUUUGGGCAUUUCCAGUAACGGUGUAAGAAAAAAAGAUCACAGUUAUUUUUUUUUCUCUAUCUGUAUAUAUUUAUAUACCAUUGCACUGAGUAUGUUUUUAAUAAGCUUCAGUCUAUUUUAGUAAAAAUCUAUAUAUUACUUGUCUGACAAGAGUCUAGUGUUAAUUUCUAUUCAUGCAGCCUGGCACAAGCUUUCAGGAUGAAGAGAACUCGUCUAUAUUCUACUACCAGAGGCGGACAGUUAAUAUUGCUCUCCCUGUAAGGUUCCUUUCUUAGUGGUAUCAAAGAUCCUGCUCCCAUGUUUACUUUGGUGGCAAUAGAGAAGGAAGGGAUGUGGUCCAGGGCGUCUUUAAACCGUCUGACUGCAGAGGAGGGGAGGGAAGGGGCUGUGCCCGCCUACCAGGAAACAGCCAGGUAGCUGUCUAAGGUACUGAAACUGAAUGCUGCAGUGUCAAUAGGGACAGCACGACGACCACUGACGGAGCCUUCGUCCACUUCUAAGCAACAUUCAGGGAAGUAGGAUGACAGUGUAGAACUGGGGACAUAUUUUAGGGUUUAAAAGUAACGACUUUUUAAAAAUAACAGUAACCUACUGGUAGUGCAAUGACUCCACAGUGUCUCAGUUGUGGUACUAUGAUGGUAGCAACACUGUUUGUUCUGGGAUGAAACACUGAUUUGUAAUUUGGGGUGCAUGGCUUGUUGAGGUACACUCCGAAGGAGGAGAGAGGUCCUGGGACUAUGGGCUAAUCCCAUACUUCUUCCUGCUAAAUCCACUACCUGGUUGCUACGUAAUAAUUACUUUUUGGUAGCUAUUGACGACAUUCAGAGGCAACAUCAAAGUGUAGAGUAGACAGAAUUGGUCUGGGUUGCUAUGGACAAUAGUGAUUCCAUUUUAGAAUCUAUUGAAUACUUUGUACUCAAGAAUAUUAACUAUUAUCUUUAAGUACAGAGAAAUUGAGGUAUGAGGUGGUUAUAUUCACUGGCCAAAGAUAUUUUUAUUUGGACUUCAAUCUAAGGAGGAGGGAGCCCCUCGACUGGUGUAAUUUACCAACUGAUGCUAUGUCCUGAAAUUCCGCUGAGAUCAGUGGGACUUAAAAUAUCACAGUACAUCCCUUACUUUACAGUACAUGGAGCUAGAAUAUGGCUUAAGCGAUGAGGGGGUGGCUCUGUAUUUUCAGUUCAAGUGUCUAGAUAUUUUAGGGAAUAUUAGAGUAUUUUUACCUGACACUGAGUUAUCAGAAGGGUUAUAGUAGGGGCUCUGCUAUACUGGGUCAGCCUUCCAGGAAGGGGCAGACUUCAAUCAGUUCAGUACUGGAGUGAGGUUAUUGUAAUUCAUAGUUUUCCCACAUGGCCAAUUUUUGAGUAGAUCAUUAAACCUCCUCCACAACCAAACCUGAAACACGGAACAAGACAGCAUGACGUGAGAAUCCAUCUACCCCCUUUCCUCAUCUGAUGGUGAUACUGAGGUGCAGUGGAAUUAGCCAAAAGACAGGCUGUAGGAAGGAAGCCUGGGUGAGCUACACCCUGGAUAAUCAAUACCUAAGUCAUCAACAGUUGAUUGUACUUGCAGAAGAAUGGGUAACUUCCCCACAGAAAGCUGAAAUACCAUUAUAGAGAAGCAGCCUCCCAUUUAUCAUGGCAGGAUCAACAUGCAGAUUCGAUCACAUUUUUUUUUUCUUGGAAGAGUAAAUACUCUUUCACCAAGGAUAAAAACCAUACGUAGCUAUUGCACUACCAGUAGGUCCAGUCAAGCUACAAAUGCCCAUGUGUUUCUAGGACGCCAGGGGUGACUCCAGCCCCUUGUUUUGCUAGUGUUGCUAGCUUGGUCAUCAGCAUUUAAUGCUGUAAGAGUACAGCAUUAGUGGUGGGUUAAAGAAGAGUCACUCACAGAUAGCAAUGGGUCAAUGACAGUCUGCACACACUUUUUGGCAGGAGGAAUGGCAGUGGAAUCUCGUAUGUCAUUUGUUUGCAACUCAGGUGAAAUCCCUAUAUAUGUGUACAUGCACACACACGCACACACACAUGUCACAGGGUUACAGUGGGAUGGGAAAGGCAAGUAGGAAUUAAGAAUUGAGGGCUGGAGGUUAGAGGAUCGGGGUUGGCAUGCUCGGGUUGACCCGCCAGUUUGCUUCGCACGUGAAAUGAACUAAUGCCACAAAGAAACUGCAUGGCGAUUUCAUCUGCUUAUCCAUCUGUUUGUAUGUUCGGCUGUCACUGAAACCAGGAGUGCCAUUCUUGGACAUAAAAAAGAAGAGGGACCUUUUCGAUAAUCAAUAGGUAAAAGAACAAGCCAAAAAAAAAAAAAAAAAAAAAAA
This 3036-nucleotide long non-coding RNA is filed under the name Sus scrofa (pig). Its description in RNAcentral is "lncRNA (ENSSSCG00005006113.1)". The record is from RNAcentral. Lineage: Eukaryota; Metazoa; Chordata; Mammalia; Artiodactyla; Suidae.